AUAGCUAGGGGUGCCUUUGGCUGAGAGAUAACAUUUCGUUAUUAACCCUUAAACCUGAUCUGGAUAAUACCAGCGUAGGAAAGCCU
RNAcentral lists this non-coding RNA (86 nucleotides) under Clostridium perfringens. Its description in RNAcentral is "TPP riboswitch (THI element)". It matches the Rfam family "TPP riboswitch aptamer (THI element)", at positions 8 to 91 of the family's 105-position model. Rfam says of the family: Vitamin B(1) in its active form thiamin pyrophosphate (TPP) is an essential coenzyme that is synthesised by coupling of pyrimidine and thiazole moieties in bacteria. The previously detected thiamin-regulatory element, thi box was extended, resulting in a new, highly conserved RNA secondary structure, the THI element, which is widely distributed in eubacteria and also occurs in some archaea. The record is from RNAcentral. Lineage: Bacteria; Bacillati; Bacillota; Clostridia; Eubacteriales; Clostridiaceae.